AAAUUGAAGAGUUUGAUCAUGGCUCAGAUUGAACGCUGGCGGCAGGCCUAACACAUGCAAGUCGAACGGUAACAGGAAGCAGCUUGCUGCUUCGCUGACGAGUGGCGGACGGGUGAGUAAUGUCUGGGAAACUGCCUGAUGGAGGGGGAUAACUACUGGAAACGGUAGCUAAUACCGCAUAAUGUCGCAAGACCAAAGAGGGGGACCUUCGGGCCUCUUGCCAUCGGAUGUGCCCAGAUGGGAUUAGCUUGUUGGUGGGGUAACGGCUCACCAAGGCGACGAUCCCUAGCUGGUCUGAGAGGAUGACCAGCCACACUGGAACUGAGACACGGUCCAGACUCCUACGGGAGGCAGCAGUGGGGAAUAUUGCACAAUGGGCGCAAGCCUGAUGCAGCCAUGCCGCGUGUAUGAAGAAGGCCUUCGGGUUGUAAAGUACUUUCAGCGGGGAGGAAGGGAGUAAAGUUAAUACCUUUGCUCAUUGACGUUACCCGCAGAAGAAGCACCGGCUAACUCCGUGCCAGCAGCCGCGGUAAUACGGAGGGUGCAAGCGUUAAUCGGAAUUACUGGGCGUAAAGCGCACGCAGGCGGUUUGUUAAGUCAGAUGUGAAAUCCCCGGGCUCAACCUGGGAACUGCAUCUGAUACUGGCAAGCUUGAGUCUCGUAGAGGGGGGUAGAAUUCCAGGUGUAGCGGUGAAAUGCGUAGAGAUCUGGAGGAAUACCGGUGGCGAAGGCGGCCCCCUGGACGAAGACUGACGCUCAGGUGCGAAAGCGUGGGGAGCAAACAGGAUUAGAUACCCUGGUAGUCCACGCCGUAAACGAUGUCGACUUGGAGGUUGUGCCCUUGAGGCGUGGCUUCCGGAGCUAACGCGUUAAGUCGACCGUCUGGGGAGUACGGCCGCAAGGUUAAAACUCAAAUGAAUUGACGGGGGCCCGCACAAGCGGUGGAGCAUGUGGUUUAAUUCGAUGCAACGCGAAGAACCUUACCUGGUCUUGACAUCCACGGAAGUUUUCAGAGAUGAGAAUGUGCCUUCGGGAACCGUGAGACAGGUGCUGCAUGGCUGUCGUCAGCUCGUGUUGUGAAAUGUUGGGUUAAGUCCCGCAACGAGCGCAACCCUUAUCCUUUGUUGCCAGCGGUCCGGCCGGGAACUCAAAGGAGACUGCCAGUGAUAAACUGGAGGAAGGUGGGGAUGACGUCAAGUCAUCAUGGCCCUUACGACCAGGGCUACACACGUGCUACAAUGGCGCAUACAAAGAGAAGCGACCUCGCGAGAGCAAGCGGACCUCAUAAAGUGCGUCGUAGUCCGGAUUGGAGUCUGCAACUCGACUCCAUGAAGUCGGAAUCGCUAGUAAUCGUGGAUCAGAAUGCCACGGUGAAUACGUUCCCGGGCCUUGUACACACCGCCCGUCACACCAUGGGAGUGGGUUGCAAAAGAAGUAGGUAGCUUAACCUUCGGGAGGGCGCUUACCACUUUGUGAUUCAUGACUGGGGUGAAGUCGUAACAAGGUAACCGUAGGGGAACCUGCGGUUGGAUCACCUCCUUA
This 1542-nucleotide ribosomal RNA is filed under the name Escherichia coli. RNAcentral describes it as "bacterial SSU rRNA". It matches the Rfam family "Bacterial small subunit ribosomal RNA". The record is from RNAcentral. Lineage: Bacteria; Pseudomonadati; Pseudomonadota; Gammaproteobacteria; Enterobacterales; Enterobacteriaceae.